CUCAAGCUUUCCACCACAUCCACGCCCUGGACUCCUCUGGCAUUGUAAUUCUUUGACCAUGAUAGAAGUACACCCUGAACCCCAAGAAGAAACAACACGGACUCUGCAACAUGCCUGAAGAGCUGCAGGAGGAAUGUGUUAGCAUGGGAUAGCACCUUUUCACAUGAUGAUUCAGGGCUCCUGGCCUGAGACUCACAUCUGUGCCCCUGCCGUUGAUAAUCCCAUCAGGGAUGGGGUAGGUGUGGCUGUUCAUUUCCACCUUCCUCUUCCCAUCUUCUGACACCUUUACCUGCAGCACCUUGAGACUGGAGCUCCCAAGGUUGAGUGCCAGGAAGUCCCCUUUCUCUGAAGGAGUAAAUGCAGGGGCAAAAUCAUGGACAGGUAACAUACUCACACUAAACCCUAUGCCUGCUGACUGGUAUCCCCUGUAGCAGACUGGGCUCAGUUAGUGUUCAGUACCAAAGGACACACAGGACUCUGCUUAUACUGCACCUGAUCCAUCGGGGGUGGAGAGGACAUGAGUGGGCAGCAUCUUCACCGUGGCUGUCUCAUUGCUUUCAGCAGAUAGACCCUUCUCCAUUUCCGCCUGGAAAUGAGCUGAGAUGUCCUGGAGCUGUUCAUCGGAGAGACGCAUGGCAUCCAGGAAGCUGUCAACCUAGAUGGACAGACAGACACAGUAACAGCCAAUAAACAAGCCCACGGGCAAAGGAGAGGGUUGGAAGAUGCUGCCCUGCUCAUGACCUUGUAAAAGAAAAGCAGAAUCCCUAGGACAAAUCACUAUCGCCUAAAUUACUGAGACUCAUUGGGCAGACUCAUUGGAACAUGAACAAGGCAGGGUCCUUUAGCACACAAAGAGCAGGGAGGCACACCACUGGGGAUGCAACAGAAACUGGCUUAAGAAAUUAGGAGAGAACAAAAUCAAAAAUAUUUUUAUUCUGAUUCAUAUAGCCAUCAAUAGGCAAUGUUAAAAUGAUAUUUUUUUUUAUAACAGGAGAGCAAUUGCAUUGUAUUUUUCAGUAAUUUGUUGCAAGGAACUGUACUCCAGGAGGGUAAAGUCCUCACCAUUCAUUUUAUCCUGUGGUAAUCUAAUGUUAUGAAGUUAAUCAUUCCUGAUGCCACAUUGACUAAGAAAGGUCAAAGUUUUCAAUCUUUAAUGCUAUUGAACUUAUCUUGAGCACCUUUGUUCUAAGCCUUGGGUGUGUUUCAUUUUAAUUGUUGAGUUGCAUUGCCUCGUUCUGUAUGUGUUUAUCUACAGAGGGAUUUUCCUCAUUGACGUGGGAACCUAAAACUCUACAGCCACGGGGUACCACACUGGCAAUGGAAAAAGGAGCAGAAACUUCGAUAGAAAUAUUAUCCAAAUCCACCAUGUUCAUCCAGCUACCCUAUAUACCAUGCCAGCUCCCCCCUUCUCUUGUUCUCCCUCUCUUUCUGUCUGUCUCACACCCUCUCCCUCCUUUCUUAGUAAAUAAAUGUUAAUGGGUGUUGAAACACCCCCUCAGACAUUAUAACUAAUGAAUUGUUCAAUUAAUGUCAUUAUGUUUAGUAUAAUGUAAGAUGUAAUUUUAGACUACAACAUUUGGAGUUAUAUUAUAAAGCUUUCACAAUAGGCUUUGCUUUCACAAUAUGCUUUUUCAUUAUGACUUUGAUUCAAAUGAUUGCAAACUUGUCUUUGGAAGACAACAGUUCUGUCAGCAUGUUAAUUUUGCAAUCACUACAUUGAGCAAAAACAAAUAUUCAGACACUAUCUAAAAGAUUCUGAAACUUCCCCCAUCUGCCAGAAAGCCAAUCCACUCGACAGCAAUUAAACAAAAAAGAGAGACAGUAAAGCAAUGUGUAAGUGUGUAUGAUGCAUAUAGUGCCAAAAACCACAAGAAAAAUCAAAUUGCAAAAUGAAUUUCGGAAAAAUUAAAG
This is a long non-coding RNA of Anguilla rostrata (American eel), 1911 nucleotides long. RefSeq lists it as uncharacterized. Lineage: Eukaryota; Metazoa; Chordata; Actinopteri; Anguilliformes; Anguillidae. The transcript has 3 exons. The record is from RefSeq and is a predicted model, not a curated record.